Molecule: RNase P RNA, 813 nt
Filed under: Candidatus Buchananbacteria bacterium RIFCSPHIGHO2_01_FULL_44_11
Lineage: Bacteria; Candidatus Buchananiibacteriota
Description: RNase P RNA component class A
Rfam family: Bacterial RNase P class A (bases 98-813)
About the family: Ribonuclease P (RNase P) is a ubiquitous endoribonuclease, found in archaea, bacteria and eukarya as well as chloroplasts and mitochondria. Its best characterised activity is the generation of mature 5'-ends of tRNAs by cleaving the 5'-leader elements of precursor-tRNAs.
Source: RNAcentral
CAGAUCAGUUAGAUGAUCGCCCCCUCACUUACUUUACUGCUAAGCUGUAUUAAUGAUAUUGACUGUAAUUACCCACAAGAGUGAUUUACUGUAAAGUCAGGCUCGGUAAAGUAGGCGAGGGGGAGGAAAGUCCGAACACCGCAAAAAAUGGUAGUGGGUAACGCCCACCCUUGGCCGUGCAAACGGCUAAGAGGACCAGUGCCACAGAGACAAUACUAGCGAGUCCCGCUUGUGGGACGAGCUACCCCGCCCUUUUUUGUUCUUAAUAACUAAAUAAAUGUAUCACGUUUAUUUACUGCGAAGUAAAAUUAGCUAUAGAAAAUUCUAUAUCGGAUUUACUUCCAGAAAAAUCAACGAGCGCAUCAAAGAUCACAAUUAUGGUGCAGUUGGUGCAACCAAAUUGUAUCGACCUUGGAGCUUAAUUUAUCUAGAGACGUACGUAUCUGAAAGCGAUGCCAGAAAGAGAGAAAAGAUGUUAAAGCAGUACGGCAGUUCUCUAGGUCAAUUAAAGAAAAGGUUAUUUGAUACAUUAAAUAAGGACUAAAAAGGGCGGGGUUUGCUCACCUUAAUAGGUUAGGGUUCGCAAAACGUGAAAAGUGUCGUAGUGUAUUUCGUUGAAUACGGGAUAUCCCUUCAAAGCAAUGCUAUACGACUCGGCGCCUGGUGACAGGCAGCCCGUGGUAAACUCUACCUGGUGCAAUGCCAAAUUUGGUAGGCAGCUUGAGUCCGGCGGCAACGCCGUGACCUAGAUAGAUGAUCAUUACCCCGAUUUUACAUCGGGAAACAGAAUUCGGCUUACGGCUGGUCUGAACA